Molecule: ribosomal RNA, 492 nt
Filed under: uncultured bacterium
Lineage: Bacteria
Description: partial 16S ribosomal RNA
Rfam family: Bacterial small subunit ribosomal RNA
Source: RNAcentral
AGUGAACGCUGGCGGUAGGCCUAACACAUGCAAGUCGAACGGCAGCACAGUAAGAGCUUGCUCUUACGGGUGGCGAGUGGCGGACGGGUGAGGAAUACAUCGGAAUCUACUUUUUCGUGGGGGAUAACGUAGGGAAACUUACGCUAAUACCGCAUACGACCUACGGGUGAAAGCAGGGGAUCUUCGGACCUUGCGCGAUUGAAUAAGCCGAUGUCGGAUUAGCUAGUUGGCGGGGUAAAGGCCCACCAAGGCAACGAUCCGUAGCUGGUCUGAGAGGAUGAUCAGCCACACUGGAACUGAGACACGGUCCAGACUCCUACGGGAGGCAGCAGUGGGGAAUAUUGGACAAUGGGCGCAAGCCUGAUCCAGCCAUACCGCGUGGGUGAAGAAGGCCUUCGGGUUGUAAAGCCCUUUUGUUGGGAAAGAAAAGCAGCAGGUUAAUACCCCGCUGUUCUGACGGUACCCAAAGAAUAAGCACCGGCUAACUUCGUG